GACGAACGCUGGCGGCGUGCUUAACACAUGCAAGUCGAACGGAAAGGCCCUGCUUUUGUGGGGUGCUCGAGUGGCGAACGGGUGAGUAACACGUAAGUAACCUGCCCUUGACUUUGGGAUAACUUCAGGAAACUGGGGCUAAUACCGGAUAGGAGCUCCUGCUGCAUGGUGGGGGUUGGAAAGUUUCGGCGGUUGGGGAUGGACUCGCGGCUUAUCAGCUUGUUGGUGGGGGAGUGGCUUACCAAGGCUUUGACGGGUAGCCGGCCUGAGAGGGUGACCGGCCACAUGAGGACUGAGAUACGGCCCAGACUCCUACAGGAGGCAGCAGUGGGGAAUAUUGCACAAUGGGCGGAAGCCUGAUGCAGCAACGCCGCGUGCGGGAUGACGGCCUUCGGGUUGUAAACCGCUUUCGCCUGUGACGAAGCGUGAGUGACGGUAAUGGGUAAAGAAGCACCGGCUAACUACGUG
This 468-nucleotide ribosomal RNA is filed under the name uncultured bacterium. RNAcentral's name for it is "partial 16S ribosomal RNA". It matches the Rfam family "Bacterial small subunit ribosomal RNA", at positions 28 to 507 of the family's 1533-position model. The record is from RNAcentral.